Molecule: ribosomal RNA, 254 nt
Filed under: uncultured bacterium
Lineage: Bacteria
Description: partial 16S ribosomal RNA
Rfam family: Bacterial small subunit ribosomal RNA
Source: RNAcentral
UACGUAGGGUGCGAGCGUUGUCCGGAAUUAUUGGGCGUAAAGGGCUCGUAGGCGGUUUGUCGCGUCGGGAGUGAAAACCAGGUGCUUAACACCUGGCUUGCUUUCGAUACGGGCAGACUAGAGGUAUGCAGGGGAGAACGGAAUUCCUGGUGUAGCGGUGAAAUGCGCAGAUAUCAGGAGGAACACCGGUGGCGAAGGCGGUUCUCUGGGCAUGACCUGACGCUGAGGAGCGAAAGUGUGGGGAGGCGAACAGG